UUCAGGACGUCACAUGUCUGCCAUCCAACCACAUGAGUGACUGCUGGUGAAGGGGGUUAACGGCCAUCAUGAAGUUUGUGAUUUGAAUAUUUCAGAGACAGUAGAAGAGAUAAGAGUGGUGCUCCUCUCAGAAGUAAGAGAAACAAUAAGCACAUGUUGGCGGCAAUGAUGGACAAGACCUUUGCACACAGACUGCAAGAGGUAGUUGGAGAGGCCCCCACGAUAGCUGAUUUCAAAACGAGGUGGCCAGCUCUCUUCCAUGUGCAUAAGGUGAGUGCAGAGUUCAAUAGAAUCACAACAAUCCAUUUGCAGUUCUUCUCCGAGUAUGAUGUUCACUCUGCAAACCUGAUGAGGGCGCAUGCCCUGGAAUCUGUUGGAAAGCCGUUUUGAAGCACUGACGGAACUGUAUACUAUAAAUAGGCCUGAAAUAAGGCACUCAAAGCUGUCUUAAAUGGAGAUGGCAGGUAUUUGGCCACUGUGUUUAUCGUGAUACUUGUUCCUAGUUUUUCUUUCCUCUCUAAUCUGUAUAUUCAGAUUGACACUUUCUAAGUCAGAAGAGAAGUCCAGAGAAGCUGGUGAAGGAAUACCCGGUAUGUUAAUUUACCUGUGUUCACUAUGGAGAUUAUCAGAGUGGAGAGUAUUGGGUUUCCUGUGUGUGCCCAUUAGAUUUAAAAUUAGAUUAAGAUAAGGCCAUUAUAAAUCUCUUCUUCUUCUUCUCUCACUUACUUAGUGACACGCACCAUACUGUGGCGUAAUCCCAAAACUGUCCCCUACCUACUAAAACUUUACUACCAAUUGUCAUUCCAAAUCGAGUCGCAUGCUGCUGUGGAGGUUCACUUAAAUAAGGGGGAGGGUAUAAACACACCGACGACUUUUGGGACAUCCCCGCCUUUCUCAGAUGGAAACGUAAGUUUGUGAAAGGGAAAUUAUUAGGAUACUUAAAUAAAACUCACUCCCACAUAAAAAAUCUUUGGCCACAUCAGUUUUAUUGAAUGUGAUUUUUCAUAAUUUAAUUCUUUUAUACAUAAACAGUCUAUUAAAUGUCUGUUUGAGCUAAAGUAACUUGUUACUGAUCUUUUUGGAAAUAACCGCACCAUGCACUGUCGUGGCAUUUCCUCCAUCCCGGGAACAAGACAGGUUCUGCACCUGGAAGAAGUGUGGUUUGUGUAUUGACUCGCUAUGGAGUUCUUCAUAACCCACUCACCCAUAAGUCUGACUGGUUUGGAAUGAGACUCCAUGUGGCAAACCUACAAGCAAAUGUGCAAAUGGAGGGGGAGUAGACAGGGCCAGGGGGUAGGGUGCCUGUUUGGGAUUCAGCCUUUCUCCUUGUCUGUCUCUCAGACAAUAACACACACACACGCAUGCACGCACACACACAUGCACGCGCCAUACUUUAACUCCUUCUUUUUCCUUUAAUGAGACAAUUUACUUUAUUCGGAUGGAAUAACUAACAGUGAGCUCAUGAUUACAACAGACAGACAACAGAGUUGUUGAAGUAUUUCACCAUGACUCCAGCAAAACAGUUCUAAUGUCAAUAGGUUGUUAUUUGAUUACAUUUGCAUUAUUAUAUUAUAAAUAUGGAUUAAGUUAGUGAUAGCCGUUUUACAGAAAUACUGUAAAGAUUGUGUGCUAUAAAUAUUGAUGCAAUGAACAUCAUGAAAUGGCCAUAGCGGAGACAAUAUUUGGAAUCUUUCUCAUUCGACAAGAAGGUACAGAGCCUGGCGAUGACCCUGCGGAUGUUGGGAUUGUCCUGGAGGGGGUGGAAGUGAUGAGUGAGUUGGGCAAUGUAGCUUUUGCUGUGGUGAUGUUGCUGGGUCUUGUCUACACGCUGAACCUGAGCUACCCUUGUUUAAAGAUGUCCCUAGCGACUUUUCAAUGUAAACAUUUUAAAUAUAUUUGUAAACAAAUGUUCUAACUUUGGUAAAUAUUUUUUAUUUCACCAAGAUUUACAAAAUGCAAAUGUUAAGAGUAAUGUGAAAUGAUCAAGGGGUAUGUGAGUAAGAGGGCCCAUUUCCUAGGAUCUUCAGUUUAUCAGUUUCACAUAACAGACAUGAGAUAUUUUUCCUUGUUGUGUUGUGAACAAGCAACUGCACUGCCAGUGUAAAACAAUGCACAUUAUAGUUUUGGAAAUACAGUUUGAUUAUA
This is a long non-coding RNA of Micropterus dolomieu (smallmouth bass), 2145 nucleotides long. RefSeq lists it as uncharacterized. The record is from RefSeq and is a predicted model, not a curated record. Lineage: Eukaryota; Metazoa; Chordata; Actinopteri; Centrarchiformes; Centrarchidae. The transcript is spliced from 3 exons.